GAGUGAAAUAGAACCUGAAACCGUGUACGUACAAGCAGUAGGAGCACCUUCGUGGUGUGACUGCGUACCUUUUGUAUAAUGGGUCAGCGACUUAAUUUUAGUAGCAAGGUUAACCGUUUAGGGGAGCCGUAGGGAAACCGAGUCUUAACUGGGCGUACAGUUGCUAGGAUUAGACCCGAAACCAGGUGAUCUAGCCAUGGGCAGGUUGAAGGUUGAGUAACAUCAACUGGAGGACCGAACCGACUAAUGUUGAAAAAUUAGCGGAUGACUUGUGGCUAGGGGGGAAAGGCCAAUCAAACCUGGAGAUAGCUGGUUCUCCCCGAAAGCUAUUUAGGUAGCGCCUCGGACGAAUACUACUGGGGGUAGAGCACUGUUAAGGCUAGGGGGUCAUCCCGACUUACCAACCCUUUGCAAACUCCGAAUACCAGUAAGUACUAUCCGGGAGACACACGGCGGGUGCUAACGUCCGUCGUGGAGAGGGAAACAACCCAGACCGCCAGCUAAGGUCCCAAAGUAUAGCUAAGUGGGAAACGAUGUGGGAAGGCUCAGACAGCCAGGAUGUUGGCUUAGAAGCAGCCAUCAUUUAAAGAAAGCGUAAUAGCUCACUGGUCGAGUCGGCCUGCGCGGAAGAUGUAACGGGGCUAAGCUAUACACCGAAGCUGCGGCUACGUACCUUAGGGUAUGUGGGGUAGGGGAGCGUUCUGUAAGCCGUUGAAGGUGUGCUGUAAGGCAUGCUGGAGGUAUCAGAAGUGCGAAUGCUGACAUGAGUAACGAUAAAGGGAGUGAAAAACUCCCUCGCCGGAAGACCAAGGGUUCCUGUCCAACGUUAAUCGGGGCAGGGUAAGUCGACUCCUAAGGCGAGGCCGAAAGGCGUAGUCGAUGGGAAACGGGUUAAUAUUCCCGUACUUCUUACAAUUGCGAUGGGGGGACGGAGAAGGCUAGGUGGGCCUGGCGACGGUUGUCCAGGUUCAAGUAUGGAGGCGGAAAGUUUAGGUAAAUCCGGACUUUCUUAACGCUGAGAUACGAUGUCGAGCUACUACGGUAGUGAAGUCAUUGAUGCCAUGCUUCCAGGAAAAGCCUCUAAGCUUCAGAUUGUAAGGAAUCGUACCCCAAACCGACACAGGUGGUCGGGUAGAGAAUACCAAGGCGCUUGAGAGAACUCGGGUGAAGGAACUAGGCAAAAU
RNAcentral lists this ribosomal RNA (1184 nucleotides) under Vibrio splendidus 1F-157. RNAcentral's name for it is "bacterial LSU rRNA". It matches the Rfam family "Bacterial large subunit ribosomal RNA", at positions 536 to 1723 of the family's 2925-position model. The record is from RNAcentral. Lineage: Bacteria; Pseudomonadati; Pseudomonadota; Gammaproteobacteria; Vibrionales; Vibrionaceae.